Salvelinus sp. IW2-2015 is the source of this 177-nucleotide non-coding RNA. The record is from RefSeq and is a predicted model, not a curated record. Lineage: Eukaryota; Metazoa; Chordata; Actinopteri; Salmoniformes; Salmonidae.
GCCAUCCGUGCUGACGACAAGUUGAUAGCGGAAGAGGGGGUGGACAGUCUGAGUGUGAAUGAGCUUCAGGCAGCCUGUCGAGUCAGAGGGAUGAGAGCUCUGGGAGUCACAGAGGAGAGGCUGAGAGAACAGCUCCAGCAGUGGUUGGAGCUCUACCUGAACGCAGCACAUCCCACC